GGAGGCCGAGCCACCGUCUGAUGCCGGCCCAAGGUCACCGAGGGGCAGGGGCCACAACUCGCGCGACCGCUGCACCCUGGCGUCGGGCCACGACUCGCCCGGCCGCUGCACCCUGGCAACGCAGGGCCAAAGGCGACGACCGCGCUUCAUCAUCACCGAGAGGAGCGACGGCCGUCCACGUCGCCAUCCCCAUCGUCCUUCAGUGAAACUGCAGGUGCUAUUCUUGCAAAGGCGGAGAUGGAAGAGCACAAAGGGCUAAACUAGCUCAUACCGGAGAAUGAAACUGAACUUCUCUAUUUAUCGAGUGUAUCAUUGUACCACGGGAAGACUCUCCCCCAAGAUCAAUGCACAUGUCUGCCAGGAAUCUAGGAAUCAAGAACAACAUUGAUCCAAGGGCACGGUGCCAUGACUGCUGAUUCUUUAGUGAUAAAAUGUGUCUUCUAUUUAUGCACUCUUUCAAUCAAUCAUCAAUUUGCUCCCAGUUAUUCAUGUUUAUGUACGUGUCUUCUGUCUCUAAUCUGCUGUUCUUUAUGCUGGUUUCUCUCCCAGUUGAUUGUUCGUCCUCUAUAGUGUUGUCAAUGAAAAGGCUCCAAGCGGUGUCACGGUCAGGAAUCUCUUUUCCAGGCAGCCGAAGAUGGUCAGGUAAUCAACCAUAUCACGGACCGCGAAGUUGUACAUGUCUUUUGGCGGCUGUUUGGAUUGGGGCCCAAAACCUGGCUCGCCCUGCUUGCCUAGAGCCCCUGCAUGUUAUGCGCGGGUGAAUCGAGGGCGUGGAUGAACUUUAUUAUAAAGGUUGCACAGUGCAUUGGGUGGACAGGCUCAAUGCUUCGUCUGCAGGCUACCCUGACAAUGAUUACCGUGCUCCUGAGUCCGAGGAGACCACUUGCUGGUGGCUAGAGAACCACAUCCCCAGCGCCAUGCUCCUGAGUCCGCUUCUACUGCCUCCAGUCAGAAUACCUACCUACAACAGCAAGCUUUCAUUUCAUAUCUGGACAAUGAAUGCAUGCUCUUUCAUUUCAUAUAUGGACGGCAAGGGCGUCUUCAGCAGCGUCUAAACAUGAUUCGACUGCCCACUCGAUGCCAAGGGAGAUGCAUCGCUGUCGUCGUCAAGGGACUCAACCAGCGCGACCUCCAGAGAUUCACUUAAUUUGGUAUAAAAACAAUAUAGCCACCGCCAUGUCGAUGAACUCUGAAGCUGAAUUGUUUUUUGUGGUUUCAUAUUUUAUUUGGAAGAAUGUCUGGGACCAACUAUCAUUUAAAACACGAAGGAGGCAUUUGCGUGAUUGUCCAACAUGGCUGUCAUGCAUCCUCAAGCAGGAGGAACCGAUUUCUAAGUUGUAGGAGCAACAGGAAGGAGAACAUCUAUGCGCUCGGUCAUACUCUCAGGAAACCAUGAUGUGUUAUUUCCAUUGAAAUGAAUUACUGGUUUAUAUGUGUUUGCACGACAAUGAUACAAGCAAGUACAAGACGGUUGUGAGACCAACAUCUCCUUGGGCUCUCCCAGGCCUCCAUUUCUCCGAAGGCUGAUCAUGUUGACUUCUUAAGCCAGACAAGCUGACGUUGUUUAACAUCUUGGAGGUGGAUGUGCUUGGCCAGAAGAAGGCAUGGAGUCAACCUCGCCACCUCUGCACGUCGCAGUAGUGCUUGUAUGCUGGAAUUUUGGAGUAGCAGUAAAGUUUGGCAGCUGAGUUGCUUGCAGUAGUUGAGUACUCCUGUAUGUGUUAGAGCAAGAUUGCGCUCACCAAGAUCUUCAAUAGGAGCCAUGUUGAAUUCACCAGGAUCUUCCAUGUUUAAGUCACCAGGAUCUCCACCAGGUGCUGUGCCGUGCUGGACGAUCUGAAGCUGGAUUUGCUGCUCGGGCUGGGGCUGGAGCCGGAGCUGGAGCUGGCGUCACCUGCCUCUGCCAGGAGCUGCAACUGCCUCUUCCUUGAGGUGCUCCUGCCUUUGCCUGGACCUACUGCUGGCUGGAGUUGCGCCUGCUGAUGGCGGAGGAGGGAAGCGGAGGAUCUGCUGGAGGAGGGAGGCGGAGCUGCUGGAUCUGGACAGAGGGCUGAGGAGGAGGAGGGAGGUGGAAGAUCUGGGCAGAGGGUGGAGGAGGAGGGAGGCGGAGCUUCUGGAUCCGGGAGGAAGAGGGCUGGAGGUAGAGGAAGGAGGCGGAAUUCAAAUUGAGGGGGUAACCUGGUCUUUUUCACGCUUUUCGCCUGGUCGGAGAAUUUCUCCAGCGACUGAUUGCAUUCUUAUGCUUCCAGGUUU
This is a long non-coding RNA of Triticum dicoccoides, 2253 nucleotides long. RefSeq lists it as uncharacterized. The transcript has 12 exons. The record is from RefSeq and is a predicted model, not a curated record. Lineage: Eukaryota; Viridiplantae; Streptophyta; Magnoliopsida; Poales; Poaceae.